GAGGGGCAAGGGGCCGGAGCCCCGGCCGGUCUGCAAAACCGGUGCAGGAAUAAAUGCCUUAGAGGCAUUUCCGGUGGGUUCGACUCCCACUGUCUCUCUCCA
RNAcentral lists this transfer RNA (102 nucleotides) under bacterium BMS3Abin07. RNAcentral's name for it is "tRNA-Gly". It matches the Rfam family "Selenocysteine transfer RNA". The record is from RNAcentral. RNAcentral also lists the same sequence under 2 other names.